CCCGCUGAACUUAAGCAUAUCAUUAAGCGGAGGAAAAGAAACUAACAAGGAUGCCCUUAGUAACGGCGAGUGAAGCGGGCAAAGCUCAAACUGAAAAUCGGUGCUCCACACGGGGCUUCGAAUUGUAGUCUAUAGACGCAGCGUCAGUAGUGACCCAGGUAUAAAUCUUUUGAAACAAGGUAUCAUAGAGGGUGAGAAUCCCGUCUUUGACUUGGAGUUCACUGCGUACGACCUGUGUUCAAAGAGUCGAGUUGCUUGGGAUUGCAGCUCUAAUUGGGUGGUAAAUUUCAUCUAAAGCUAAAUAACGAUCAGAGACCGAUAGCGAACAAGUACCGUGAGGGAAAGAUGAAAAGAACUUUGAAAAGAGAGUUAAAAAGUACUUGAAAUUGUUAAGAAGGAAGCGCUGGAAACCAGUCGUGCCGGUUGGCGUAUCAGCCCAUCCGUGGAGUAGAUGCAGUAAGCCGGGAGCCUUAAACCUCGGUCAGAGCGGAUACUACAUGGUAGGGACGCGCGUCAGCUGGUGAGUCAGAAUCGUUUUGUUUCGUGUGAGAAAGCUUGCGGGAAGGUAGGUUAGCGGGGGCAACUCCAAUGACUGUUAUAGCCUGCGAGUCCUAGCAUGGAACAGAUCGAGGAUUUCAACACGCACCACUAGGUUCGAUUCCCUGCCCCUGAGCUGUUAGCUGCGUUGGAUAGUAAAACUAUGCUCGUAGCGAAACGGCUUACUGGGUAGGAUGAAUCAGAUGCAGUGUUCGGGAUUCUGACGAAAUGGUUUUCAUCGACCCGUCUUGAAACACGG
RNAcentral lists this ribosomal RNA (796 nucleotides) under uncultured fungus. Its description in RNAcentral is "eukaryotic LSU rRNA". It matches the Rfam family "Eukaryotic large subunit ribosomal RNA", at positions 24 to 664 of the family's 3401-position model. The record is from RNAcentral. Lineage: Eukaryota; Fungi.